UACGUAGGUGGCAAGCGUUGUCCGGAUUUAUUGGGUUUAAAGGGUGCGUAGGCGGCCAAUUAAGUCAGGGGUGAAAGACGGUAGCUUAACUAUCGCAGUGCCUUUGAUACUGAUUGGCUUGAAUGUACUUGAGGUAGGCGGAAUGUGACAAGUAGCGGUGAAAUGCAUAGAUAUGUCACAGAACACCAAUUGCGAAGGCAGCUUACUAAAGUAUGAUUGACGCUGAGGCACGAAAGCGUGGGGAUCAAACAGG
This 253-nucleotide ribosomal RNA is filed under the name uncultured bacterium. Its description in RNAcentral is "partial 16S ribosomal RNA". It matches the Rfam family "Bacterial small subunit ribosomal RNA", at positions 524 to 776 of the family's 1533-position model. The record is from RNAcentral.